Molecule: ribosomal RNA, 458 nt
Filed under: uncultured bacterium
Lineage: Bacteria
Description: partial 16S ribosomal RNA
Rfam family: Bacterial small subunit ribosomal RNA
Source: RNAcentral
CCUACGGGUGGCAGCAGUGAGGAAUUUUGGUCAAUGGGCGAGAGCCUGAACCAGCCAAGUCGCGUGAGGGAGUACUGCCCUAUGGGUUGUAAACCUCUUUUGUCGGUGAGCAAAAGCCGGACGUUUCCGGCUUUGAGAGUACCCCAAGAAAAAGCAUCGGCUACCUCCGUUCCAGCAGCCGCGGUAAUACGGAGGAUGCGCGCGUUAGCCGGCUUUAUUUGGGUAAAAGGCUGCGCAGUCGGAUUUUUAAUUCAGCGGGAAAAUCGUUGGGCUCAACCCCAUCCAGCCGUUGAAACUGGGGAUCUUGAGUGUGCGAGAGGUAUGCGGAAUGCGUGGUGUAGCGGUGAAAUGCAUAGAUAUCACGCAGAACGCCGAUUGCGAAGGCAGCAUACCGGUGCACAACUGACGCUGAGGCACGAAAGCGUGGGUAUCGAACAGGAUUAGAUACCCCUGUAGUC